RNAcentral lists this ribosomal RNA (277 nucleotides) under uncultured bacterium. RNAcentral's name for it is "partial 16S ribosomal RNA". It matches the Rfam family "Bacterial small subunit ribosomal RNA", at positions 32 to 303 of the family's 1533-position model. The record is from RNAcentral.
AAUCAACGCUGGCGGCGUGCCUAACACAUGCAAGUCGAACGAGAAAGUGGAGCAAUCCAUGAGUAAAGUGGCGACCGGGUGAGUAACACGUGACUAACCUACCCUUGAGUGGGGAAUAACCUUCCGAAAGGAGGGCUAAUACCGCAUAACGUCCUGUGGCUGAAAUGCCGUUGGACCAAAGGAGCAAUUCGUUUAAGGAGGGGGUCGCGGUUGAUUAGCUAGUUGGCGGGGUAAUGGCCCACCAAGGCGAUGAUCAAUAGCCGGCCUGAGAGGGCGC